UACGUAGGGGGCUAGCGUUGUCCGGAUUCAUUGGGCGUAAAGAGCGUGUAGGCGGUCCGGUAAGUCCGUUGUGAAAGUCAAGGGCUCAACCCUUGAAUGCCGGCGGAUACUGUCGGGCUAGAGUCCGGAAGAGGCAAGUGGAAUUCCCGGUGUAGCGGUGAAAUGCGCAGAUAUCGGGAGGAACACCUAUGGCGAAGGCAGCUUGCUGGGACGGUACUGACGCUGAGACGCGAAAGCGUGGGGAGCAAACAGG
Molecule: ribosomal RNA, 253 nt
Filed under: uncultured bacterium
Lineage: Bacteria
Description: partial 16S ribosomal RNA
Rfam family: Bacterial small subunit ribosomal RNA
Source: RNAcentral